CCUACGGGAGGCAGCAGUGAGGAAUAUUGGUCAAUGGGCGGGAGCCUGAACCAGCCAAGUCGCGUGAGGGACGACGGUCCUAUGGAUUGUAAACCUCUUUUGUCGGGGAACAAAGGCGCCCACGGGUGGGCGGAUGAGUGUACCCGAAGAAAAAGCAUCGGCUAACUCCGUGCCAGAAGCCGCGGUAAUACGGAGGAUGCGAGCGUUAUCCGGAUUUAUUGGGGUUAAAGGGUGCGUAGGCGGACAGGCAAGCAAGCGGUAAAAAUGCGGUGCUCAACGCCGUACAGCCGUUGAAACUGGCAGUCUUGAGUACAGUAGAGGUGGGCGGAAUUCGUGGUGUAGCUGUGAAAUGCUUAGAUAUCACGAAGAACUCCGAUUGCGAAGGCAGCUCACUGGACUGCAACUGACACUGAUGCUCGAAAGUGUGGGUAUCAAACAGGAUUAGAUACCCUUGUAGUC
Molecule: ribosomal RNA, 459 nt
Filed under: uncultured bacterium
Lineage: Bacteria
Description: partial 16S ribosomal RNA
Rfam family: Bacterial small subunit ribosomal RNA
Source: RNAcentral